Oreochromis aureus is the source of this 970-nucleotide long non-coding RNA. NCBI's taxonomy places the organism in Eukaryota, Metazoa, Chordata, Actinopteri, Cichliformes, Cichlidae. The record is from Ensembl.
CAACUUCAUUCUAAGCCAAAGACUAGAAAAUAUGGUGAAGCAUAUCUUCCUUUGGUUUCACCUGCACAAGUGCUGAGGUUUGGGGAAACCUGCAGUCAGCUGAGACUGAAGAAGUCACUUGGAUGAGUGACGAAACGUUUCUCCCACAAAACGCUACGUCCAGAUGAACAGAUUCAACUUUUGGAGAUUUACUUUCCUGGAUGAUUGAGAAUGCAUCAAGACCCAUUUCUGUUUGGAGUUUGCAUGUUACCCCAUGUUCCCCUGUGUGCUGGUUGCUGUGCAGUUGCUGGACUGAUCCUGAGUUCCUGCCUUUUGGUCUCCACACACCUACAGGUGUUUUGUGCCAGAAAUGGAGUGUCCACUGAAGACUGAAGAUACUGAAUCUCUACGCCGUGCCAUUGAUCCCUCCUGUGCCUUCAUCUAGACAAGAGACAUUAACUUAACCACUCUCACAUGCUCUGUACCUACAUCACCUUCCCUGACAGUCGUAGCUUGGCUCAUCUGAGGGUGAAAUUAUAAGAAUGUGUUAUUUUGCAAAGUGCUCUCUAGGGUUCCUAAAUAAAAUAUGGCAUUGAGGUCAUUUCUUUUGAAUUAAUCCCUUCUUCUGAAAUAUAAGAUCCUCUCCUGGUUUAAAUGGCACUUUCUGUUCCUUACUUCCUGUUCCACUCCCAACCCCAAAUAGAUGCUGACAAGCUGACACAGUAACAUGGAAGAGGGAAAGAAGCUGGAAAGGACUACUACAAAUAAACCUAAUGCCUAACAAUGAAAAAUGUAAAAUAAGAAAAAUAAUAAUAAAGAUAAAAGAUGAAGUAACAAGUUUUUUGUUUUUUUGUUUAUUCCAAAUGAUCAUCCAGAUGUCUGUGACAUGUGAUGACAAACACCAUAAUGGAAGGCCUUUGUCAUCACAUGCUUAAACUCAGCAUAUAUUUUUGCAUAUGCUGAACAGGCAGUCAGACAUGCUGUAACUGUG